RNAcentral lists this long non-coding RNA (1028 nucleotides) under Marmota monax (woodchuck). Lineage: Eukaryota; Metazoa; Chordata; Mammalia; Rodentia; Sciuridae. The record is from RNAcentral.
CUGGAGUGAGAUGAUAUCUUAGUUGUAAGUUCUGUGUCUAAUUCAUUUCUUUGCAUACAGAUGCAAAGGUGUUCAUAAUUCAUUUAAAAAAUCAUCAUCUCCAGUGAAGUCCUGACUUCUCUUGUGUGUUUGAGUUUAUUUCUAGGUUUUCAUUCCACUAAUCUCACCUUGCCACAUCUCACCUUUUGAGUUACUAUAAGUUCAUAGUAAAUCUCAGCAUCAGAUAUUUGAGUCCUGUAACCCUAUUCUACAGAAUUGUUGAUCGCUCUGUAUGCCUGCCUUCUCCAUAUAGCCUUUAGAAGCAAUUUUUUAAUAUUUGUGCAACAGGUUGUUAGGAUUUUAUCAUGGUUGUGUUUAAUUCAUUUAUUAGAGUUAUAGAUAACUAAUAUAUUAAUAUUGAAUGCUCCUUUCUAUGUUUGGUAGUUGUAGGGUCCCCCAAUUUACAGGAAGUUGAUCAGCAGUAUAAAUGACAUUCUGGGACUUAUAAGUGGCAUCAGAAUUAGGUGAAAGACUGCAAGUUUGAGACAUGAACUAGUGACAUUUGUGCCAACCAGUGCAAACAAUAUGUUCUUUUUUAAAAAUAUUUUUUAGUUGUUGAUGUACUUUUAUUCUUUAUUUAUAUGUGGUGCUGAGGAUCAGACCUGCUGCCUCACACAUGCUAGGCAAGUGCUCUGCCACUGAGCCACAACUCCAAUUUGAUUUUCUGCAAAUUCACACAUUUUCUUCUAGAAACAUAAAUUUUAAAGGACAUUGUAGGUGAGGACCUUAAACUGACUGCAGCUAUGUGUCUUUUAAACUGGUGAGAAUUGUGACUCUGGAAGACUAAGUAUUUCCUUUCUUUGCAAAAGGAAUCUGAGGUAUGUGGACCUUACUUUUAGCUGCCCAGAAUUGCCCGACUCACUGCUUAGGAAUGAGUCACAGAAGGCCACAGUGUUACAGGGAGGGUGCUCCACAGUUUAGAAAAUAUAUUUAUUCUAACAUGUCAGGAUUUUUAUUUAUUUUACUUUAUUUUUUUUGCAUUUUGUGAA